GAAGAACGGUGUUUAAAAAGGACUAACGUUACAUCACAGAGUAAAUCAGGGAAAAAUAGAUCAUUCUUGCUGGAGACAAUUUAGAUUAGAUGGUCAUUUUGCACUGGACCUAAUGACCCUUGCACAGAUUUGUUUUACUUGUUCGAAAGCAGGAGACAGAGUCAGCAAAUGUGAUCUUGAAAGAAAGAAAAAAAAAAAAAGGCAAGUUAAUGGUUUUGGCAAGGCGCCUUCAGCAGUGACUCAACGGACACAGUUGACUUUAUUGAAGUGAGAGGAAAUAAGAGAACAGAACAUUAUGUACAACACGUAAAACUAAAUAAAUAACAGCCUGUUACAACGUUAAAGCCUAUAAUAGUGGUAUGUAUACCAAAAUGACAUAUUCCCUCCCUGCAUAUUAAUUAUGUGAACCGUGUGCGGAAAGUAAAAACAGCGGCACAUUGUGCUCAAAACCAAAUUAAAGCUAAAAUAACACACUGAAAGGUAAAUAUUAACUCACAGCACUUGAAGUGCCAAACCUAUGAUAAAUAAUGACAGCUCAACACUUAAACGUAAUAAUAGCACUCUUUACAGAAGUAAAGAAAUUCUUAAUAUGGACAUUUCCAUCCACAGAAGACAACCUGAACAGUGUUAAAGUGCAGAUUUAAAACGUCUCGAAUUGUAUAAAGAAAAAUCUCUCUGGGUUUAUUAAAAUAGCAGUUUUAAUUUAGGCUUGUUUUUAAGAUGUUGAGGUUUCAGAUCAGGAAAUAUUCAGCUAUACUAGAACAAUCAGUUCGACUAGCCUGUACAGCGUAAUCAGUCCCUCAAGGGUUCUGUGAUCGCAGAAACUCUGCAAUAUUCAGAGGAGCUUGCAAUGUUUCAAAAGUACCGCAGAUUUGGGCCAAGAUGCGUCAUCGCAACGCACGGUCAGCCAAAGCCCUCUUCGAUUCAAGUGUGUCGAACACGAGUACAGCUAACAGGUCUUAUUUACCAGACUGUACAGGAUUUUGCAGAGUUUUUUUUUGCGUGAUUGUUGGCUAAAAGUUCUUGAUUUUGCUGCGGCUUUUUCUCUCACAAAAUUUGUGAUGCACAAUUUUUUUUUGGUGCUUUUUUUUUGCAGAAAAUGUCUUGAACUGGCGAAACGGCAUUUUUGUCAGUAAAUGUGACUCAUGUUUGACGCAAGCGAAUUGUAGGGGGUUUUGGGUGACUGCGCACUGUGAUGAAGUCACAUGACAUGUCUCGGCCCAAUUCUGCAGCGAAGUUUGCUUGAUUUUGCGUUGUGUUCUGCCACCUGCAAAACCCCGGAGGGACUGACCAUGCAACUCAAUUCUGUGCAAUUGCCCUGCAGGUUGCGUCGCAGAUGUAAAAAAAAAAAAAAAAGAAAAAAAAAAAAGAAAAGAAAAAAACAGCAGAAAAAUCAAGCAUUUUGGCCACAACAAUCUCACACACACACACACACACACACACGUUGCGAAAUCCUGUACGGAUUGACUAACUAUAAAAGAAAGGAAACGCCCACUACCAUAAUGAGUAUCAGCUCCAUAUGAAAAAAAAUCAAGACCAGAGGCAGGGCUUUUUAUUACAAACCUACGCAGGUCUGUACAGGAAGUAACUGUGGAAUGACUAACGACUCGUUUCAGCUGUUCAGAAUCGCUUCCUUCUUUUGAGAGUCAAUAACUCAGUUUGUCAUGUGCUUUGAUUUUUGAAACUUUGCAGACGUUUUUACGUUCACAAACGGCUCUAUAACACACUACGUGAAAGGUGACAUCUGAAAAAGCAUAAUAAUAGGUGUAUAAUAACUUUAACACGCACACAAGAUAUCGCAGAGCUCCAGGAUUUAUGCAAUGCUACCCUGAGGGUUCCUACAGCACUUCAGGAAAACACCAUGUACAGAUUAAAACGCUGGACAGCGGUGGGCCGUGAUGCAGGAGUUACGACAUGGCGAAGUUAAAGCGCAAAGUCCUUCAUCUUGAAGACUUUCCUGUGGUGGAAAACUCCCUGCCUGAGGAAAAAAAAAAAAAAGCUAGGGCUGACACUAGAGACUCCUUCCAUUAAUGUGAGGUGAAAUAUCUCCUUACAGAAAACAUUAUCAUAUUAUAUCGUUGUCUUUUUUCUUUGUUGUGGUUUGCUUAAAUGUGUUUAAGCUUAGUCUUAGAUUAACGUAUUCGUCCGCCUCUACGCAAGCUGUUGCUAUAGAAACGAUAAGGCGCGCAUUAAUACAGACCUGUGAUUUGAACAACAGCCGGAACUAUUGUCAGAGCUGCUGACAUACACAAUUCAUCAACACCUCCUGACCAAACAGAAUCGAGAACUGAACAGGCAGCAAGCAAAAAAAAAAAAAAAAACCCAUCAGCAAUACUUUAAGCAUCCUGACACAGCAAGAACAAGUGAUGUAAACACCACGGAAAGAACAAAGUGUUCGUUUCGCAGUUUCACUUUAAAACAUACACGACCUUACAGCAUUCACUAUUCCUGCUCCAAACUGCCGACUGGUUCAUGCACUUGUAUAGACGAGUGGACGAGUUGCAAAUCCACAAACCAGGCAUGAAACACUGCACAAAAACAUCCCGCAGUCUUUUCCCUUAUUAUUCGUCUUCUUAUACAUCCCUAACACAGCCAAACACAACCCCCCAAAUAAUGCAGAACAGCACUGCACAAACACACACCCACGCAAAGUUGUUAGGGAUAAUCUGUACUCACAAAGCCGCCUUUUCAAAUUGACACGACUGGAUUCUUGCAUUGCUUUCCGAACUCCAUAUGAGAGCGAGGGAAAGCCAUAAAGUCACCAUGACUAAGCAUUGCGAUCCGGAACGCCAAAAUAAAAGCUGGGCUGUGUCCCAAAUAUCUUCCUCCUUCCCUAUAUAGGCUCGC
Ictalurus punctatus (channel catfish) is the source of this 2847-nucleotide long non-coding RNA. NCBI's taxonomy places the organism in Eukaryota, Metazoa, Chordata, Actinopteri, Siluriformes, Ictaluridae. The record is from Ensembl.